Molecule: ribosomal RNA, 434 nt
Filed under: uncultured Oscillospiraceae bacterium
Lineage: Bacteria; Bacillati; Bacillota; Clostridia; Eubacteriales; Oscillospiraceae
Description: partial 16S ribosomal RNA
Rfam family: Bacterial small subunit ribosomal RNA
Source: RNAcentral
ACGGAAGGCAGCAGUGGGGAAUAUUGGGCAAUGGGGGAAACCCUGACCCAGCAACGCCGCGUGAAGGAAGAAGGCCUUCGGGUUGUAAACUUCUUUUACCAGGGACGAUAAUGACGGUACCUGGAGAAAAAGCAACGGCUAACUACGUGCCAGCAGCCGCGGUAAUACGUAGGUUGCAAGCGUUGUCCGGAUUUACUGGGUGUAAAGGGCGUGUAGGCGGAGCUGCAAGUCAGAUGUGAAAUCCCGGGGCUCAACCCCGGAACUGCAUUUGAAACUGUAGCCCUUGAGUACCGGAGAGGCAAGCGGAAUUCCUAGUGUAGCGGUGAAAUGCGUAGAUAUUAGGAGGAACACCAGUGGCGAAGGCGGCUUGCUGGACGACAACUGACGCUGAGGCGCGAAAGCGUGGGGAGCAAACAGGAUUAGAUACCCUGGUA